This 77-nucleotide transfer RNA is filed under the name Pararhodospirillum photometricum DSM 122. RNAcentral describes it as "tRNA-Pro". Lineage: Bacteria; Pseudomonadati; Pseudomonadota; Alphaproteobacteria; Rhodospirillales; Rhodospirillaceae. The record is from RNAcentral.
AUGAGGGUCUUCAAGGCUGCCUCAGUGAGCCCAGGCGCCGGGACCGUCGGUGCCGGUGAGGGCGACCACGGGGGCUC